AUUUCUAUACGGAAGAAACUCCUUGGAAUCGUUGGUGGUUGAGUAUAGCACUGUAAGUAUACGGUCAGGAGAUCAAGUAUCCAAAUAUGAAAUUUUAAAUAAUGUUUUGCCGUUGAAGUAUUCAUCAUUUUUAUUAUCAAAUUUUGCAAUAACUAAUUAGCAGGAUGUUUAUUAUAAAAAUAUAUUAUCUUUCAGUAAGUUUAUUGGUAAUGUUACAAGCCAGACUGAGAUACAUAAUUUAAAACGGUUACUAAUGACAUAACUCAAACAUAUUAU
RNAcentral lists this long non-coding RNA (276 nucleotides) under Nicotiana benthamiana. RNAcentral's name for it is "long non-coding RNA (NBEN_LNC005720)". Lineage: Eukaryota; Viridiplantae; Streptophyta; Magnoliopsida; Solanales; Solanaceae. The record is from RNAcentral.